Molecule: ribosomal RNA, 462 nt
Filed under: Isoptericola sp. EBKC101
Lineage: Bacteria; Bacillati; Actinomycetota; Actinomycetes; Micrococcales; Promicromonosporaceae
Description: bacterial SSU rRNA
Rfam family: Bacterial small subunit ribosomal RNA
Source: RNAcentral
CCGCGUGAGGGAUGACGGCCUUCGGGUUGUAAACCUCUUUCAGCAGGGAAGAAGGCCUUCGGGUGGACGGUACCUGCAGAAGAAGCGCCGGCUAACUACGUGCCAGCAGCCGCGGUAAUACGUAGGGCGCAAGCGUUGUCCGGAAUUAUUGGGCGUAAAGAGCUCGUAGGCGGUCUGUCGCGUCUGGUGUGAAAACCCGAGGCUCAACCUCGGGCUUGCAUCGGGUACGGGCAGACUAGAGUGCGGUAGGGGAGACUGGAAUUCCUGGUGUAGCGGUGGAAUGCGCAGAUAUCAGGAGGAACACCGAUGGCGAAGGCAGGUCUCUGGGCCGCAACUGACGCUGAGGAGCGAAAGCAUGGGGAGCGAACAGGAUUAGAUACCCUGGUAGUCCAUGCCGUAAACGUUGGGCACUAGGUGUGGGGCUCAUUCCACGAGUUCCGUGCCGCAGCUAACGCAUUAAGU